UGGGGGAUAUUGCACAAUGGGCGAAAGCCUGAUGCAGCGACGCCGCGUGGGGGAUGAAGGCUUUCGGGUUGUAAACCUCUUUCGCUAUCGAACAAGGCCCGCUUAGGGUGGGUUGACGGUAGGUGGAGAAGAAGCGCCGGCUAACUACGUGCCAGCAGCCGCGGUAAUACGUAGGGCGCGAGCGUUGUCCGGAAUUAUUGGGCGUAAAGGGCUUGUAGGCGGCUUGUUGCGCCUGCUGUGGAAACGCGGGGCUUAACUUCGCGCGUGCAGUGGGUACGGGCAGGCUUGAGUGUGGUAGGGGUGACUGGAAUUCCAGGUGUAGCGGUGGAAUGCGCAGAUAUCUGGAGGAACACCGAUGGCGAAGGCAGGUCACUGGGCCAUUACUGACGCUGAGGAGCGAAAGCAUGGGUAGCGAACAGG
This 420-nucleotide ribosomal RNA is filed under the name bacterium. RNAcentral's name for it is "partial 16S ribosomal RNA". It matches the Rfam family "Bacterial small subunit ribosomal RNA", at positions 355 to 776 of the family's 1533-position model. The record is from RNAcentral.